This 251-nucleotide long non-coding RNA is filed under the name Hordeum vulgare. RNAcentral describes it as "long non-coding RNA (HVUL_LNC014084)". The record is from RNAcentral. Lineage: Eukaryota; Viridiplantae; Streptophyta; Magnoliopsida; Poales; Poaceae.
UAGUUUGCUAUUGACGUGGAAACAAUAAUAAUUCCAGCAAACUAGCAAAGUAAUCAUGAACUUUCAAAAUAGCAAGGCCAAAAGAAAGUUAUCCCUACAAAAGCAUAUAAUCUGGCUAUGCUCUAUCAUCAUUGCACAACGAAUUUAAAUCAUGCACAACCCCGGUAUUUGCCAAGUAAUUGUUUCACACCUUUACUUUCUCAAACAUUUUCAACUCUCACGCAAUACAUGAGCGUGAGCCAUGGUUAUAG